Molecule: ribosomal RNA, 465 nt
Filed under: uncultured bacterium
Lineage: Bacteria
Description: partial 16S ribosomal RNA
Rfam family: Bacterial small subunit ribosomal RNA
Source: RNAcentral
GACGAACGCUGGCGGCGUGCUUAACACAUGCAAGUCGAACGGAAAGGCCCCUUUGGGGGUACUCGAGUGGCGAACGGGUGAGUAACACGUGAGUAACCUGCCCUUGACUUCGGGAUAACUUCAGGAAACUGGGGCUAAUACCGGAUAGGAAUCCUUGCUGCAUGGUGGGGGUUGGAAAGCUUCGGCGGUUUUGGAUGGACUCGCGGCUUAUCAGCUUGUUGGUGGGGUAGUGGCUUACCAAGGCUUUGACGGGUAGCCGGCCUGAGAGGGCGACCGGCCACAUUGGGACUGAGAUACGGCCCAGACUCCUACGGGAGGCAGCAGUGGGGAAUAUUGCACAAUGGGCGGAAGCCUGAUGCAGCAACGCCGCGUGCGGGAUGACGGCCUUCGGGUUGUAAACCGCUUUCAGCAGGGGCGAAGCUUGUGGUGACGGUACCUGCAGAAGAAGCACCGGAUAACUACGUG